Molecule: long non-coding RNA, 451 nt
Filed under: Mytilus galloprovincialis (Mediterranean mussel)
Lineage: Eukaryota; Metazoa; Mollusca; Bivalvia; Mytilida; Mytilidae
Source: RNAcentral
UUGAGGGGAGACAACACUGUAAACAUCCUGUUUUUUUGGCAGUGAAAAUUGAAAACUUAUUUGCAGCCACUGUAGCUCUUUUCGGAGCAGGAAACCGUACCCUGAAACAAGAUUUUUUUGAAAGGCCAGGUAAAAACCUACAAAUUUCAUACAGUUUUGAUUAUGUAAAAUGUGCAUGGAUCAUGUCUUCAUGGGUGUGCACAUGACCUGGUUUCAAGUUUUUUAUGUUCAAAUUAGACCUUUUUUCCCCCAUGUUCAUUGGAUGGAAUAUUUUUAAUAUAUUAAAAGUACACAUUAUUUUUAUUUCAUUAUAAACUAGAGAACAUUCUGAUUCCAGUGAUAUCUAGUUUUAUAUAAGUAUCUUUAUUAAUCAGUCCACCACUAAGGGUCACUUAUGCAUGGUCCCUCAAAAUGUGACGUCAUAGAAAAAAACUGUUGAUUGCACCCUUAG